RNAcentral lists this ribosomal RNA (253 nucleotides) under uncultured bacterium. Its description in RNAcentral is "partial 16S ribosomal RNA". It matches the Rfam family "Bacterial small subunit ribosomal RNA", at positions 524 to 776 of the family's 1533-position model. The record is from RNAcentral.
GACGAACCUUGCUAACGUUAUUCGGAAUUACUGGGCGUAAAGCGUGCGCAGGCGGUUUCUUAAGUCAGAUGUGAAAGCCCCGGGCUUAACCUGGGAACUGCGUUUGAAACUGGGAGACUUGAGUGUGGCAGAGGGGGGUGGAAUUCCACGUGUAGCAGUGAAAUGCGUAGAUAUGUGGAGGAACACCGAUGGCGAAGGCAGCCCCCUGGGUUAACACUGACGCUCAUGCACGAAAGCGUGGGGAGCAAACAGG